GAAUGUUCCCUGGGGGGCCUCGCUAGGAGGCUGAGACUCCGCCGGUCCGGCGCUUUCAUCCGGACAACGCGGUGACCCAUCGAACCUGAUCCGGGUCAUACCGGCGUAGGGACGGGACUGAAGGGCGGCA
This is a non-coding RNA of Azospirillum brasilense, 130 nucleotides long. Lineage: Bacteria; Pseudomonadati; Pseudomonadota; Alphaproteobacteria; Rhodospirillales; Azospirillaceae. The record is from Rfam.